RNAcentral lists this ribosomal RNA (254 nucleotides) under uncultured bacterium. RNAcentral describes it as "partial 16S ribosomal RNA". It matches the Rfam family "Bacterial small subunit ribosomal RNA", at positions 524 to 776 of the family's 1533-position model. The record is from RNAcentral.
UACGAAGGGGGCUAGCGUUGUUCGGAAUUACUGGGCGUAAAGGGCGCGCAGGCGGCUCUUCAAGUCAGAUGUGAAAGCCCCGGGCUCAACCUGGGAACUGCAUUUGAGACUGGAGAGCUUGAGUUCGGGAGAGGAGAGCGGAAUUCCCAGUGUAGAGGUGAAAUUCGUAGAUAUUGGGAAGAACACCGGUGGCGAAGGCGGCUCACUGGGCUCAUUACUGACGCUCAGGCGCGAUAGCGUGGGGAUCAAACAGG